This 2861-nucleotide ribosomal RNA is filed under the name Salmonella enterica subsp. enterica serovar Typhimurium var. 5-. RNAcentral describes it as "bacterial LSU rRNA". It matches the Rfam family "Bacterial large subunit ribosomal RNA". Lineage: Bacteria; Pseudomonadati; Pseudomonadota; Gammaproteobacteria; Enterobacterales; Enterobacteriaceae. The record is from RNAcentral.
AGCGUACACGGUGGAUGCCCUGGCAGUCAGAGGCGAUGAAGGGCGUGCUAAUCUGCGAUAAGCGCCGGUAAGGUGAUAUGAACCGUUAUAACCGGCGAUACCCGAAUGGGGAAACCCAGUGUGAUUCGUCACACUAUCAUUAACUGAAUCCAUAGGUUAAUGAGGCGAACCGGGGGAACUGAAACAUCUAAGUACCCCGAGGAAAAGAAAUCAACCGAGAUUCCCCCAGUAGCGGCGAGCGAACGGGGAGGAGCCCAGAGCCUGAAUCAGCAUGUGUGUUAGUGGAAGCGUCUGGAAAGGCGCGCGAUACAGGGUGACAGCCCCGUACACAAAAGCGCAUGUGCUGUGAGCUCGAUGAGUAGGGCGGGACACGUGGUAUCCUGUCUGAAUAUGGGGGGACCAUCCUCCAAGGCUAAAUACUCCUGACUGACCGAUAGUGAACCAGUACCGUGAGGGAAAGGCGAAAAGAACCCCGGCGAGGGGAGUGAAAAAGAACCUGAAACCGUGUACGUACAAGCAGUGGGAGCACAGGUUUACCUGUGUGACUGCGUACCUUUUGUAUAAUGGGUCAGCGACUUAUAUUCUGUAGCAAGGUUAACCGUAUAGGGGAGCCGGAGGGAAACCGAGUCUUAAUUGGGCGUUAAGUUGCAGGGUAUAGACCCGAAACCCGGUGAUCUAGCCAUGGGCAGGUUGAAGGUUGGGUAACACUAACUGGAGGACCGAACCGACUAAUGUUGAAAAAUUAGCGGAUGACCUGUGGCUGGGGGUGAAAGGCCAAUCAAACCGGGAGAUAGCUGGUUCUCCCCGAAAGCUAUUUAGGUAGCGCCUCGUGAAUUCAUCUCCGGGGGUAGAGCACUGUUUCGGCUAGGGGGCCAUCCCGGCUUACCAACCCGAUGCAAACUGCGAAUACCGGAGAAUGUUAUCACGGGAGACACACGGCGGGUGCUAACGUCCGUCGUGAAGAGGGAAACAACCCAGACCGCCAGCUAAGGUCCCAAAGUCAUGGUUAAGUGGGAAACGAUGUGGGAAGGCCCAGACAGCCAGGAUGUUGGCUUAGAAGCAGCCAUCAUUUAAAGAAAGCGUAAUAGCUCACUGGUCGAGUCGGCCUGCGCGGAAGAUGUAACGGGGCUAAACCAUGCACCGAAGCUGCGGCAGCGAACGUAUCACCCAAGACAACUUUACGGAGUUGACGAUUGACGGAGCGAAGCGACGUCAAAGCGUUCAUUAAAGUCGAGUUGGCUUAGGGAUACGUUCGUUGGGUAGGGGAGCGUUCUGUAAGCCUGUGAAGGUGUGUCGUGAGGCAUGCUGGAGGUAUCAGAAGUGCGAAUGCUGACAUAAGUAACGAUAAAGCGGGUGAAAAGCCCGCUCGCCGGAAGACCAAGGGUUCCUGUCCAACGUUAAUCGGGGCAGGGUGAGUCGACCCCUAAGGCGAGGCCGAAAGGCGUAGUCGAUGGGAAACGGGUUAAUAUUCCCGUACUUGGUGUUACUGCGAAGGGGGGACGGAGAAGGCUAUGUUGGCCGGGCGACGGUUGUCCCGGUUUAAGCGUGUAGGUGUGUGUUCCAGGUAAAUCCGGUUCACUUUAACACUGAGGCGUGACGACGAGGCACUACGGUGCUGAAGCAACAAAUGCCCUGCUUCCAGGAAAAGCCUCUAAGCAUCAGGUAACAUCAAAUCGUACCCCAAACCGACACAGGUGGUCAGGUAGAGAAUACCAAGGCGCUUGAGAGAACUCGGGUGAAGGAACUAGGCAAAAUGGUGCCGUAACUUCGGGAGAAGGCACGCUGACACGUAGGUGAAGUGAUUUACUCAUGGAGCUGAAGUCAGUCGAAGAUACCAGCUGGCUGCAACUGUUUAUUAAAAACACAGCACUGUGCAAACACGAAAGUGGACGUAUACGGUGUGACGCCUGCCCGGUGCCGGAAGGUUAAUUGAUGGGGUCAGCGCAAGCGAAGCUCCUGAUCGAAGCCCCGGUAAACGGCGGCCGUAACUAUAACGGUCCUAAGGUAGCGAAAUUCCUUGUCGGGUAAGUUCCGACCUGCACGAAUGGCGUAAUGAUGGCCAGGCUGUCUCCACCCGAGACUCAGUGAAAUUGAACUCGCUGUGAAGAUGCAGUGUACCCGCGGCAAGACGGAAAGACCCCGUGAACCUUUACUAUAGCUUGACACUGAACAUUGAGCCUUGAUGUGUAGGAUAGGUGGGAGGCUUUGAAGUGUGGACGCCAGUCUGCAUGGAGCCGACCUUGAAAUACCACCCUUUAAUGUUUGAUGUUCUAACGUGGACCCGUAAUCCGGGUUGCGGACAGUGUCUGGUGGGUAGUUUGACUGGGGCGGUCUCCUCCUAAAGAGUAACGGAGGAGCACGAAGGUUGGCUAAUCCUGGUCGGACAUCAGGAGGUUAGUGCAAUGGCAUAAGCCAGCUUGACUGCGAGCGUGACGGCGCGAGCAGGUGCGAAAGCAGGUCAUAGUGAUCCGGUGGUUCUGAAUGGAAGGGCCAUCGCUCAACGGAUAAAAGGUACUCCGGGGAUAACAGGCUGAUACCGCCCAAGAGUUCAUAUCGACGGCGGUGUUUGGCACCUCGAUGUCGGCUCAUCACAUCCUGGGGCUGAAGUAGGUCCCAAGGGUAUGGCUGUUCGCCAUUUAAAGUGGUACGCGAGCUGGGUUUAGAACGUCGUGAGACAGUUCGGUCCCUAUCUGCCGUGGGCGCUGGAGAACUGAGGGGGGCUGCUCCUAGUACGAGAGGACCGGAGUGGACGCAUCACUGGUGUUCGGGUUGUCAUGCCAAUGGCACUGCCCGGUAGCUAAAUGCGGAAGAGAUAAGUGCUGAAAGCAUCUAAGCACGAAACUUGCCCCGAGAUGAGUUCU